Long non-coding RNA from Mauremys reevesii (Reeves's turtle), 397 nucleotides. RefSeq lists it as uncharacterized. The record is from RefSeq and is a predicted model, not a curated record. The transcript is spliced from 3 exons. Lineage: Eukaryota; Metazoa; Chordata; Testudines; Geoemydidae.
ACUGACCCAGGACAACGAGCCAGAGUAUGAGCCAGACGGACUCCCAGAGGUGGUCAGAAAAGGCUUUGCUGAUAUUCCUACUGGGAAAACCAACCCCUGUGUUUUGCGCAGAACAGCGCUAAACCUAAAGACCAGUGCCCGUCUUGCUGCUCAAAGCCAAAAUUUGUCACCAUAUGGCCAACGUUUACAAAGGCAGGUCAGCUAAUUUUGCCAAGAUCUCUAAACCGACAGCUGGUGGCAGCAAAUCACCAAAGGUAGAUGAUACUCAGCAGUGCCAAGCAGAAACAGCUAUUGAACCCAUGGAAUCUAGUUCAAGAUCUCCUCUUUGCAUGAAGAAGCAAAACACACAAGCUGUUGCUGAGAACUUGAUGGAGAAUCUCAACACACACCAAGGCAG